UACGUAGGGUGCAAGCGUUAAUCGGAAUUACUGGGCGUAAAGCGUGCGCGGGCGGUUUUGUAAGUCUGUCGUGAAAGCCCCGGGCUCAACCUGGGAAUUGCGAUGGAGACUGCAAGGCUUGAAUCUGGCAGAGGGGGGUAGAAUUCCACGUGUAGCAGUGAAAUGCGUAGAGAUGUGGAGGAACACCGAUGGCGAAGGCAGCCCCCUGGGUCAAGAUUGACGCUCAUGCACGAAAGCGUGGGGAGCGAACAGG
Molecule: ribosomal RNA, 253 nt
Filed under: uncultured bacterium
Lineage: Bacteria
Description: partial 16S ribosomal RNA
Rfam family: Bacterial small subunit ribosomal RNA
Source: RNAcentral